UCCAGACUCCUACGGGAGGCAGCAGUGGGGAAUAUUGCACAAUGGGGGGAACCCUGAUGCAGCGACGCCGCGUGGGUGAAGGAGUACUUCGGUACGUAAAGCCCUAUCAGCAGGAAAGAAAAUGACGGUACCUGACUAAGAAGCCCCGGCUAACUACGUGCCAGCAGCCGCGGUAAUACGUAGGGGGCAAGCGUUAUCCGGAUUUACUGGGUGUAAAGGGAGCGUAGACGGCAGUGCAAGUCCGGAGUGAAAGCCCGGGGCUCAACCCUGGGACUGCUCUGGAAACUGUAAAGCUGGAGUGCGGGAGGGGCAGGCGGAAUUCCUGGUGUAGCGGUGAAAUGCGUAGAUAUCAGGAGGAACACCGGCGGCGAAGGCGGCCUGCUGGGCUUUUACUGACGCUGAGUCUCGAAAGUGUGGGGAGCAAACAGGAUUAGAUACCCGAGUA
Molecule: ribosomal RNA, 445 nt
Filed under: uncultured bacterium
Lineage: Bacteria
Description: bacterial SSU rRNA
Rfam family: Bacterial small subunit ribosomal RNA
Source: RNAcentral